Triticum aestivum (bread wheat) is the source of this 534-nucleotide long non-coding RNA. RefSeq lists it as uncharacterized. The transcript is spliced from 3 exons. Lineage: Eukaryota; Viridiplantae; Streptophyta; Magnoliopsida; Poales; Poaceae. The record is from RefSeq and is a predicted model, not a curated record.
UCCUUCUGAUGCGACACUCAUCCAUGCUCCUUCUUUUUCAUAAAAUGGGUGGUUUGGUUGUUGAUCCAUUAAUCAAAUAAAUUAGGUCGUAAGAUCGAAUCAUCGCGGUGGCGAGACGCCAGGACAGCAAAAAGCCGACGCGAGGGGCGGAGCGGAGGCGAGCGCAUCUUCGUCUCAGACCAUGGCCGGUGACGCCCCAGCGCACAGAGACUCAAUAAUGGAUUAUGAGGAACCUACUGAUGGAUCUUUCUCAACAUGUGUUUUUGCCUCUCGGUUGUGUCUGGUUGCGCGGAAACAUCUAAAUGAUUAAAAAGAGGGUAGUCAUAAACAAGUCAGCUUCGGAUCAAUGAUGAAUAUCGCCUCAUUCUCUGUACCAGAGCCUCAAGAGUGGAUGAUGAGAUUGAAGAACCUACUGAUGGGUCCUUCACAACAUGUUUUUCAGCUUCUCGCUUGCGUCAGGUUGCUGAGAAUAUUCCCCCCCCCUCUUUCGUACCAGAUAAGCUGCUAGACCGGGUAAUCAUGAAGAUUGACACU